This 468-nucleotide ribosomal RNA is filed under the name uncultured bacterium. RNAcentral's name for it is "partial 16S ribosomal RNA". It matches the Rfam family "Bacterial small subunit ribosomal RNA", at positions 28 to 507 of the family's 1533-position model. The record is from RNAcentral.
GACGAACGCUGGCGGCGUGCUUAACACAUGCAAGUCGAACGGAAAGGCCCUGCUUUUGUGGGGUGCUCGAGUGGCGAACGGGUGAGUAACACGUGAGUAACCUGCCCCUGACUUUGGGAUAACUUCAGGAAACUGGGGCUAAUACCGGAUAGGAGCUCCUGCUGCAUGGUGGGGGUUGGAAAGUUUCGGCGGUUGGGGAUGGACUCGCGGCUUAUCAGCUUGUUGGUGGGGUAGUGGCUUACCAAGGCUUUGACGGGUAGCCGGCCUGAGAGGGUGACCGGCCACAUUGGGACUGAGAUACGGCCCAGACUCCUACGGGAGGCAGCAGUGGGGAAUAUUGCACAAUGGGCGGAAGCCUGACGCAGCAACGCCGCGUGCGGGAUGACGGCCUUCGGGUUGUAAACCGCUUUCGCCUGUGACGAAGCGUGAGUGACGGUAAUGGGUAAAGAAGCACCGGCUAACUACGUG